GUUUAGUUAAACUUAAUUCUUUACACUUGUACCAAAAGAAAUUUUUAAAAAAUCUUUUCAUCACAAAAUAAAUAAAUACUGUACUAUUUGAGUCAGGACAAAAAGGGAAAUAAAAGUAUUGUGACACCACUCUCGAUACAUAGAUGAACAAGAGUAUUGUUAAGACAAGACAUAAAGAAAUAAAAAGAAACACAUUGAAGAUACUUGAUUGAAAUGUCGGCACCCGAGUUACAGAUUUGUUGAUAGUCCGGACUAUUACAAGGCGAUUAUUCAAUUGCUGAUCCGACUUUUACGACCGACAGACGACUUCUAAGAAAUGCCGUCCUCUCACCUAUCAUUACCAUUUCACAACCUGGGAAUUGAAGGUACAAUUAGAAGGCUCAGCAGUGACACAAUGGCGCCAUCUGGAUCGUAACAAUUCCUAUUGACUCUUCUAUGUCCGCCUCUUCUACUUGUUCAAAUAAGUGUUCUGCCUCAACUGUGACCUAUUUUUUAUUUUUUAUUUUUUCUGAAUUGCCCACGACGAUCGACUCAACUUCACUUAUUUGUAUUACGAGAAAGAUUUCUAAUUACGCUUUAAAUUUACUUUUAACCUUAAACUCGUCAUAUAAAAUUUUAUUUAACGCUUAAAAAUAUACUUAAUUAAAUUGAGAUACAGAAUGUAAUUAAACUGAAUAGAAUAGAUAUUGUUAGUUAUUCUUUAUAUUGACUUUAGGCUAUACCUUUUUUUUUUAUGUUGAGUGUAUGCGUGUGGUUGGUUACAAGUAAAAUGUGAC
Molecule: long non-coding RNA, 776 nt
Organism: Centruroides sculpturatus (bark scorpion)
Lineage: Eukaryota; Metazoa; Arthropoda; Arachnida; Scorpiones; Buthidae
Exons: 3
Source: RefSeq, a predicted model, not a curated record